UCGAGCACAUGAAUUCGAUUUCAUUAUCGUUGUAUCAUUCUACGUAGGUUAACAACAUUUUUAAGCCAAAAUUUCAGUUAGUAAACUAAUAAAACAAAUUUUAGAAUUAUGACUACUCCGAAGUGCCAAAGCUAACAACAAAUCGUCGGUCUAAAAAUGACAAAAGGUCGCCAGAGUAACCCGCAAUGGAUACCUAAACUUUUUACGUUAGUUUAAGGAACAAAAUUGCGGCCUUUCGCCCCAGGAGACUGUCCGUAAAGAAGCAAAGGCUUGGAAUCUACUAACUUGCGCAGAAAACAAAAAUUCAAUUAAUGGAAUUCAACCAAAAACCAAAGGCAUCGAAAAAUAAAUGUGAUUAAGGUGAGCCUUGUCCAUAUCCUAUUGUUGACAUGAAGAAAAGAUACUAAGAAUAAAAAAACUCCAGAGAAAACCGCUAAAAAAAGACGCCAGAAAACACGCCAUAAAAGACGGCAGAAAAGGCGCCAUAAAAGACGCCAAAAAGACGUCAGAAUAGACAUAUGUAAAAAAAGCUUCCUAUAAUUAAAUAUAAGUUUAAAACUCAGUUUUUAAAUCCAUUUUCAAAAUUCAUUGUUUGCCAAAUGUGAGUCAAUGAAUAGUUAUUAAAUUAAAGCAUAACUAAUUCACUAAU
This is a long non-coding RNA of Drosophila willistoni, 649 nucleotides long. RefSeq lists it as uncharacterized. The transcript is spliced from 2 exons. The record is from RefSeq and is a predicted model, not a curated record. Lineage: Eukaryota; Metazoa; Arthropoda; Insecta; Diptera; Drosophilidae.